Salvia miltiorrhiza (redroot sage) is the source of this 2130-nucleotide RNA transcript. It is a transcript of the gene named BEL1-like homeodomain protein 1, with no coding region annotated. Lineage: Eukaryota; Viridiplantae; Streptophyta; Magnoliopsida; Lamiales; Lamiaceae. The record is from RefSeq and is a predicted model, not a curated record. The transcript has 6 exons.
UCAAUUUCAAAAUCAGAAAUCUAGGGUUUCAAGUUUCACUUUGAAUUUCUCUUUCUCCGGUGAAUCUCGCCGCCGCCGCCGCCGCUGCCGCUGCUCGACCGUUCCUCACGCCCUCUGCUCUCAUCGUUUCAGGUAUUCCUUCUCUCUUACUCGUUCUCUCUCCCCUUGCCAUCUACGCUUCCUCACCGAUCUCCCUCCGCCCCCUGCUCUCGUUCGCGGCGCCGCCGCGAAUCGCCGCUACGUAUCCUUGCUAUGGUAUCCUCAUCGCUGCUCCUGUCGAAAGCUCGCGGCAGUUCGGCAAUCACCGAGGAAAUCUCGGCUGCAGCGGGCGAUGAGAGCGUGAUUCAGGAAGAUAAGCUGCGGAGCACAAGGAAUCAUCGGCGACAUACGACUGGACCGAGGAAUGGUAUCCGCUGUACCUCGCGAAGCAAGUAUCGGACGACGCGCUGCUAGGGCUCACCGCGACAUCUGCCGCAAACCGCCGCGGCUCGAGCAGCACCAGCGGUCGUCGCCGCCAGUUGCACCUUCGCCGUGGUGGUUCUCGGCUAUUGCUGCCCCAUUUUCUUCUUCUAUUUUGUUCUUUUUCUUUACUUAUUCUAUGUUAAAUCCUUGUUCUAAUUCUUCCCUAACUAUUCCCCUAUUUCAGGAAUCGACCGAAUGUCGAACGUUGUCGAUUCGAGGGUGAGAAAUGAGCAAAGAGGUCUGCACAAAAUCUCUAACUAUUUCCCUAACUAUAGAAUAUUGAUUUAUUACAAGUUCUUGGAAAAAGUUGAGGUUUUGUUCACUGCCCAUGUUAGAAUUCUUAUGGCUUUUUAUGAAUUAAUUGGCAUUACUUGAUGAUGAUAUUCAACCUAUUUCUAGCUCUAAUUAUAAAGCAAGUAAUUGUGAGUGUGUCUGUUUUCCCUUUGUUUCAGGAACAGGAACUCAGCUUUAUCCAGGCUGACACAUGUUUUAAAUGAUCAUGUUAUCCUAAUUAAGAUUUAUAAACUUGUUUCAUAUCACUUAUUAGCAUAUAAUGUGAAAAAUCUAUGCUACUGAAAUUUCAAAUUUCAGCUUAAUCUAAAUUUUUCACUUUAAUAGACCAAUUAACAUAUAUGAGUAGUUUAGUUGCAUUUUCUGAUUCCUCAUACUGUUGCAUUUAUCCGGAAGGCACUUGGUUGUUUUGAUUGUCCUUAUUGUUUAUGUUGGGCUGCUAAUUUCCUAUUGCCUUUACCAGGUAUUUUGCUUUUUAAUUGCAUCUUCAUAGCAUAUUAUACUAGUUUUCAAUUUCCAAUCUAUCAUUGUAGCAAGGGCUUAUCUAGGUUCAUGGGUUAAGCCCCAAAAUCCUAGGGGACCCUUUGAAAAUCCAUGUUCUUUUCCAAUGAUAGAUUGGCUUCUCAUAUUGUGUUGAACUGAUUAACGAUUUCUAAUCGAUGAAAUUUCCAAGAACAAAUCUGAUAUGGAGACCAUCUUGUCCUAUAAACAUGUCAUUGUAGGAAUCAUAGCAAUUCCGGUGUCUAAAAUCCACGAUUUGCGCGCAGAUGAAGGCCUUGAACAAGAGCUUGGGGGAGGACCAAGGUUCGGAGCUGCCGAGGCUGAGGUUUGUGGAUCGGCAGCAGGUAGGGAUGCUGCACAACAAUGCGUGGAGACCGCAGAGAGGGCUGCCUGAGAGAGCUGUCUCGGUGCUUCGUGCUUGGCUCUUUCAACACUUUCUUCAUCCGUACCUUAAGAACUCGGAUAAGCAAAUGCUUGCUAAGCAAACAGGGCUUACCAGGAUUCAGGAUGGUAAGCUGAAUUCACUAGAAGACAAGCAGGUUCGGGUUUUGCUUCAAAUGAGAUGUUCUUGUUUGGGCAGUUUGUGGCUUUUUAUGUUAUGAUGAGAAUAUUUGUUAACUUGUAAUGAAAAUCACAGCUCUAUUAUUUUCUCGACUUGUGUUAUGUUUUGAGAUGUGCAGGAUAGGAAGCUUGGGAUCAAUUCAAUGAAUUGGGAUGGAAGUUUGGAUGGAUGAAUGGAAUGUUGUUGACUGAAAGCCGCUUCAGAGUACUUAUUUUUUGUUGAAAAUUGUAAAUUGACUAUUCUAGUUACGUAGAUACAUUACUUGGUUGGUUAAUAUUUAACAGUUUGAUUAUGGAUGGAUGGAGUUAUUUGGA